This is an RNA transcript of Photinus pyralis (common eastern firefly), 697 nucleotides long. RefSeq lists it as uncharacterized. The record is from RefSeq and is a predicted model, not a curated record. NCBI's taxonomy places the organism in Eukaryota, Metazoa, Arthropoda, Insecta, Coleoptera, Lampyridae. The transcript has 3 exons.
CAAUUUAUAUUUGUAAACAACCAUGGCAGGUGAGAUAGCGAGAGCGAUAAGCAAGUCUAACAUUUAAAAAAGAUAAGAUACGGAUUAGGUACACAAUCACCUCUAUGUAGAUUUGUUGGCCAACAUAAUACAAAUUUAAAGCCUUACUUGUGUGAUUAUAGUGAUAGUGAUAACAGAAAAAUUCCUAAUACCAUACUUUACAAACCUAGUGGCAGGCUUUAUUCACAAAUCCUUAUAGAUCGUAUUGCCUACAUACAUAGAUGUAGCUUCCCAUUUACUUUCAAUCUCGCUUUCAAUAAUGAGCACCUGUGCCAACAUACCUAACAAAGACAGGGACAUAUUUUGCAGCCUUCUCCUUUAAAAUGCUACACGUGCAACUCCGCAAAUUCGAAUUUGUGCAAUGAUCCAUUUGUAAACGAUACAGUAGAAGCAGUUCGCUGUGCUUUGGUAACGCAUGUUUGUGUCAAGCACGUUAUUCCCAAUGAAGGAGUGUCCAGAGGCUGCAGCACCAAGGACUACUGUCGCAUAUACAAUGGAUCUAACAGGUGUCACACUUGCUCUGACGAUUAUUGCAAUUCCGGAUUAAAUCAAAUUUCCUCAGUCGCCGUUGUGGGAUUGGCAGUAUUCCAUCAAUUUAUUGCGAUUCUCUGUUGAAAACCUGUUUUCUCAUUGUUUGAAUUACAAAAUAGUCUUAGCA